Molecule: ribosomal RNA, 730 nt
Filed under: bacterium
Lineage: Bacteria
Description: bacterial SSU rRNA
Rfam family: Bacterial small subunit ribosomal RNA
Source: RNAcentral
CAGGAUUUAGAUACCCUGGUAGUCCACGCUGUAAACGAUGUCGAUUUGGAGGUUGUGCCCUUGAGGCGUGGCUUCCGGAGCUAACGCGUUAAAUCGACCGCCUGGGGAGUACGGCCGCAAGGUUAAAACUCAAAUGAAUUGACGGGGGCCCGCACAAGCGGUGGAGCAUGUGGUUUAAUUCGAUGCAACGCGAAGAACCUUACCUACUCUUGACAUCCAGAGAACUUAGCAGAGAUGCAUUGGUGCCUUCGGGAACUCUGAGACAGGUGCUGCAUGGCUGUCGUCAGCUCGUGUUGUGAAAUGUUGGGUUAAGUCCCGCAACGAGCGCAACCCUUAUCCUUUGUUGCCAGCGGUUCGGCCGGGAACUCAAAGGAGACUGCCAGUGAUAAACUGGAGGAAGGUGGGGAUGACGUCAAGUCAUCAUGGCCCUUACGAGUAGGGCUACACACGUGCUACAAUGGCGUAUACAAAGAGAAGCGACCUCGCGAGAGCAAGCGGACCUCAUAAAGUACGUCGUAGUCCGGAUUGGAGUCUGCAACUCGACUCCAUGAAGUCGGAAUCGCUAGUAAUCGUAGAUCAGAAUGCUACGGUGAAUACGUUCCCGGGCCUUGUACACACCGCCCGUCACACCAUGGGAGUGGGUUGCAAAAGAAGUAGGUAGCUUAACCUUCGGGAGGGCGCUUACCACUUUGUGAUUCAUGACUGGGGUGAAGUCGUACAAAGGGUAACC